Molecule: long non-coding RNA, 339 nt
Filed under: Brassica napus (rape)
Lineage: Eukaryota; Viridiplantae; Streptophyta; Magnoliopsida; Brassicales; Brassicaceae
Description: long non-coding RNA (BNAP_LNC016631)
Source: RNAcentral
GUGUAAAAUAAAUUCAAAUAGUUCAAGGUAAAACAUUUGUUUGAAAAAAAUGAUUAGUGACUGAGAUAUGGGGAGGGCACUGAGUGGGCAGGUGCCAAUAAAUGCUCCUCGGUGUCGCCAUAAAUUCAGUACACAUCCGUGCAUCUACUCGCAAUUCAAACUCCAUAAGUCAAAUCCAUUUGGUUGCACAUUCAUUCCCUAUAGUUAUCACAUUAACACAAUUUGUUUUUGUUUUUGGGAUUUUUUGGCAAAAAAUUGGUGACACUUUGUUUACAAAAGUUAACAUACACACACACACACACUUACCUUUUUAUCUAUAAAUAAAAAGCAUACACACAC